GCAAGAUCUAGACAUAUAAACACUCUAAAUCACAUAAAUGAUCAACAAGGCAAGAUCUAGACAUAUAAACACUCUAAAUCACAUAAAUGAUAAACAAGGCAAGAUCUAGACUAAUAAACUCUAAAUCACAUAAAUGAUCAGCAAGGCAAAUUCUAGACAAAUAAACACUCUAAAUCACAAAAAUGAUCAGCAAGGCAAGAUCUAGACAAAUAAACACUCUAAAUCACAUAAAUGAUCAGCAAGGCAAGAUCUAGACAAAUAAACACUAUAAAUCACAAAAAUGAUAAGUUAGGCAAGAUCUAGACAAAUAAACACUCUAAAUCACAACAAUGAUCAGCAAGGCAAGAUCUAGACAAAUAAACACUCUAAAUCACA
This 375-nucleotide long non-coding RNA is filed under the name Mytilus galloprovincialis (Mediterranean mussel). The record is from RNAcentral. Lineage: Eukaryota; Metazoa; Mollusca; Bivalvia; Mytilida; Mytilidae.